Molecule: unclassified non-coding RNA, 203 nt
Filed under: plant metagenome
Description: partial contains small subunit ribosomal RNA, internal transcribed spacer 1, and 5.8S ribosomal RNA
Source: RNAcentral
UUUCCGUAGGUGAACCUGCGGAAGGAUCAUUAUCGUAGGGCUUCGGCCCUGUCGAGAUAGAACCCUUGCCUUUCUGAGUACCUUUCGUUUCCUCGGCAGCCUCGGCUGCCAAUGGGGACCCCAAAAAACACUUUGCAGUACCUGUAACAGUCUGAACAAACAAACAAAAAUUAAAACUUUCAACAACGGAUCUCUUGGUUCUG